AUCCUCCUGGACUGUGCCAACGCACAGACCACUCAAGAGCCAGGCUCUGACAGUGAUUCCAGGCUGUAAGUUCCAUACAAGACUUAGACCAUAGACAUGGAUUACCCCAAUGGAAACCGCAGCAAUCUUUCACCAGUGGGUCAGGAUCUUGUUGUGAGCCAAGAUGUACAGAAGGAGACUCUCUACAUGGAUCCACCAGCUUUUCCAUUGGCCAAGGGAGCACCACGACCUACACCAGCCAGGGAAUGGAGCAGUCUCUGCCUCAAGGACCUAAUAAAGAAUGGGGGCACCUCAGAGGAGCUUGCUGGGCCUCACAUUGAGAUGGAAGUGAAAAUGACGAUAGCCACUGAGUUGAG
Molecule: long non-coding RNA, 356 nt
Organism: Gallus gallus (chicken)
Lineage: Eukaryota; Metazoa; Chordata; Aves; Galliformes; Phasianidae
Source: Ensembl